RNAcentral lists this ribosomal RNA (253 nucleotides) under uncultured bacterium. Its description in RNAcentral is "partial 16S ribosomal RNA". It matches the Rfam family "Bacterial small subunit ribosomal RNA", at positions 524 to 776 of the family's 1533-position model. The record is from RNAcentral.
UACGGGGGGAGCAAGCGUUGUUCGGAAUUACUGGGCGUAAAGGGCGCGUAGGCGGUUUGCUAAGUCGAAUGUGAAAACUCUGGGCUUAACCCAGAGCCUGCAUUCGAUACUGGCAGGCUAGAGUUCUGGAGGGGAUAGCGGAAUUCCUGGUGUAGCGGUGAAAUGCGUAGAUAUCAGGAGGAACACCGGUGGCGAAGGCGGCUAUCUGGACAGAGUCUGACGCUGAGGCGCGAAAGCUAGGGGAGCAAACAGG